This 642-nucleotide ribosomal RNA is filed under the name uncultured bacterium. RNAcentral's name for it is "bacterial SSU rRNA". It matches the Rfam family "Bacterial small subunit ribosomal RNA", at positions 738 to 1381 of the family's 1533-position model. The record is from RNAcentral.
CACUGACGUUCANGCCCGAAAGCGUGGGUAGCAAACAGGAUUAGAUACCNUGGUAGUCCACGCCCUAAACGAUGUCGAUUAGCUGUUGGGCAGCAUGACUGCUUAGUAGCGAAGCUAACGCGUGAAAUCGACCGCCUGGGGAGUACGGUCGCAAGAUUAAAACUCAAAGGAAUUGACGGGGACCCGCACAAGCGGUGGAUGAUGUGGAUUAAUUCGAUGCAACGCGAAGAACCUUACCUGGUCUUGACAUGUACGGAACCCUCCAGAGACGGAGGGGUGCCUUCGGGAGCCGUAACACAGGUGCUGCAUGGCUGCCGUCAGCUCGUGUCGUGAGAUGUUGGGUUANNNNNNNNAACGAGCGCAACCCUUGUCAUUAGUUGCCAUCAUUAAGUUGGGCACUCUAAUGAGACUGCCGGUGACAAGCCGGAGGAAGGUGGGGAUGACGUCAAGUCCUCAUGGCCCUUAUGACCAGGGCUUCACACGUCAUACAAUGGUCGGUACAGAGGGUAGCCAAGCCGCGAGGUGGAGCCAAUCUCACAAAACCGAUCGUAGUCCGGAUUGCACUCUGCAACUCGAGUGCAUGAAGUCGGAAUCGCUAGUAAUCGCAGGUCAGCAUACUGCGGUGAAUACGUUCCCGGGUNU